CUUUUUCACUGGUGCAUCAUGAAAACAGCAGAAGAAGUCUGUGUACAUUUUUACAAUGGAAGUGGAGAUUCCUCAAAUGAUGAUCCAAUGAUGGAUUAACGGCCAUCACAGCCCACUCUAAAUGGAAAGUCAAAAAAAAUGGCAUCCAAGCAUGCAGAUGCAGACAGAACUUCAGAAGAAAUUGGCCAGACUGGGCCACGUGUUGGGCUGUGUCCGAGCAGGAAAAAGUGACGCAGAUGAAGACGAUAACAUUUGACACCUGGAAAAAAAAAAUUUCCUGCUCAUCUUCCAGCUGUGAUUUGAGUGGAGAGGUAUGCACCACACCAUAAGAGAAACAAUAGACAUGAAAAAAAAAAAAACAGUCUCUCGUGUGUAGGCAUAUCCAAACUCAAAAACCUCUCUCCAGGGGAUGAUGUCUAUACCCGUAGAGGACUCACAGAUUGAACCAAUGCCUGCCAUUUUGACACGUCAAAGACACAAUUACAAGACAUGAUGGCUAGACCUGCCUCUACAUGCACUGGGUUAAAUCUGUAUAGAUUUAAAACUAGUGAAAAUAGUGAAAGUAGCUAUUCAGUCCAUUGUUUUCCUUUCUUUGUCACUACAUGGCUUUGGUUCUGUAUUAAUUUAUGAGCAUUAAAAAAUGGACACCGAACAUGCCUCCUUUAUAAUCUGAAGUGCCUGAUUUAACGUGAUUGAUUCUCUUCAUGGGAGCUGUCUUCAAAGAACGCUGCAGCAAUAAUAACAUCGCAUUACAAGACCAACCUUCAGUCUUUAUGUUGCUUCUGCCUCUCCCGAGUUUAGUAAAAGAAGUAUGGCUACAUCAAGCAACAUUCCUCUUUGAUUUAUGUGUCAUAAUCACUACCGAUGCAGGGUACCAUUCUCACUUUUCAUGAAAGUAACAGACACGCUUUUACCUUCUCCAAAUUCUUGGAGACAUUGAUACACUAAGGAGAGGAUGAGCGGGAUCACAAAAAGAGAGCUGGGACGUUUUGAUCAUUUUUAUGUCAGCGUGUUCGUGGAUAAAGACACGUCUGCGCUGCCAAGUGUCCCAGGCAAUCCCGGCUUCAUUGAGUCCUGCUCUGCUAUGUUCUAAAUCACUACUCUUUUAUUCUUCUCUACCAUAAUAGCACUGCUAUAAAGAGCAGCAGAAGAGAAAGAAUCAAUAAAAUCAUGCAUCUAAUAAGGGGAGGCAGGAUUAAAAAUGGUUCCUCCAAAGCCUUCAGGGGAAAAUCGAGGUGAGAUUUAAGUCUUUUGACAGGUACAUCGGGGACCCGCUCUCCCAUCCCUGCCAGAGUGGACGGGCGGUGGGCCCGGGACUUGUUUAUGGCAGGUUGGGAUUAAGAAGGUCGGAUCUACACUGCCAUUUCUCAAGGCCUCAAAAGCCCAGUAGGCUAAUUAAACAGUAACAGGCGAGACAUGGGUCUCUCUUGUGCUCACCUCCUGGCUUUGCUCUCUUCAAUUCCAGCAGUUUAAUUUUUCUAGAAAGGGGGCAACCCUGUCGGAGCACUGGGCAAGCUUCCAGUUCUGUGGUGGGAUGUUAGAGGGGUAGCGACGAGAUGGAGGAAGCCCGAGCAUUGGAAUGAGGAGAAGGUUGGCCAUAGGAAAGGCCAGGUCAAACCCUCCACACCCCAGCUGACAGCUAGAGUAAGACCUUCCGGCUCCAUGAGGCUGAAGGACAGAAAAGGAGGGGGAGGUGGUGAUAUCGACAAGGCAGAAGCAUUGUGACUCGCAUUAUGAUUCCCGUGCCAGUGUUGCAAUCCACCGUCACGGUGCUGGAAGGGCAGGCGGCUCGCGUCCAAGGGCUCCCCGUGGAACCUGUGUUAGAUCGGUGAGGCCUGAUGUUGUUGACCUAGCCCCAGGGUGCAUGUGUCACAGCCAAGGCCAUCAAGGCAGUUCCCGUCAUCGCAUUUGCACUUCAAAAAACAUUUGGCUUGCACAGCCUUGGAGCAAGGGAGUCUCAGAGGUGCUUGUGAUAGUGGAUUCACCAGCUUACAGGAAACCUCCUGAAUUAAACAGAACGAAUGGCAGCUGUUGGAUGUGUCCAACUUCAUCUCUUAAAGACCACGCACUGCUAAUCUUCUUCAUAAUGCCCAUGCGUCUUGAUCGGUUACUGUCUCACAAAUUAAAGGGAAUCUCAUUGUUGAGCUAAAAAGUAGUUAAAAAAAAAGAUUCACACAGCAUUGGAGGGUAGUAGGAUUUUAGUCCCAAAUUAAAUAUGUAACAAGCUCUAGCAGUGUUGCAAACACUUUCCUUUAGUAACCAUGCACACUUACCAGUAUACCACAUGAAUACAGGUCACCAUUUUAAUAAUAAUAUGUAUGUUUCAAUUAAUUUCAACAAAAAAAUUGGGUGUAAAAAUUCAACUUAAAUACAUGCACUCACUUCACAUCAACUCUUAUAUUCAUAAUUUAUAUAUAUAAAGGUCAGUUGCACAUAAGAGUCUCCACAAAUAUCUGGUUUUAAAACUCACUUAUUAGAAAUGUACUUUUUGUAUUCAUGUUCUUUUCAUAUUUAAAAAAAAAAAGGGGGGGGGGGUCUUGGUAACCAUUAAAGGGGAACUAUUAUGCAAAAUUCACUUUUGCAUGGUGUUUGGACAUAAAUGUGUGUUGGCAGUGUGUGUACACAACCACCCUAUAAUGAUAAAAAUCCAACCACUCCUUUUUUUUAAUCCCAAUAAAUCAUAAGCAAUGUCUCAGAACAAGCCGUUUCCAGAUCCCUGGCAAUGUGACGUCUAAUUAGCCACAGGCCCCACCCACGAAUGUUGACACUGCCAUUUUAACAUAGAACCGCCCUGAGCGAGUUCACAGCGAGUUGUACACAGUCUGCCAUUGCUGCACUGACGAGAAUGUCUCCCAAGCAUUUUAGGUGUUCUGUAGCUGGAUGGAUUAAUCCACAUAGCUCUCUCCAUUUACUCCCGAAAUCUGAGCCGAUGAAGAUAAGGUGGAUUCAUUUUUGUUUUCGAAGAAAAUGCUCCCUCAACUCUACCAAAAUUUGUUUGUCUGCGCAAAUCAUUUCACACUGGACUGCUUUGUGAAGGAAUGUCAAUACAAAAGAACAAUACAAAACAGAGGUUGUGCUAAAAAGUUGUUACUCAAGAAUAGAUUAGUACAAACAUUCAUGAUCCAGCUUACAGCCUCCAGAGUGAUGCUGGAUACGGCAGUAAUGAGGGUGAGAGCCCUUUAUUACAGUUCAUUGGAGUUGAUUUACGGAUAUAAAGUUUACCAGUUUUUUA
This is a long non-coding RNA of Megalobrama amblycephala (Wuchang bream), 3232 nucleotides long. RefSeq lists it as uncharacterized. NCBI's taxonomy places the organism in Eukaryota, Metazoa, Chordata, Actinopteri, Cypriniformes, Xenocyprididae. The record is from RefSeq and is a predicted model, not a curated record. The transcript has 3 exons.